ACGCUGGCGGCGUGCCUAUCAUGCAAGUCGAGCGAGCUGAACCAACAGAUUCACUUCGGUGAUGACGUUGGGAACGCGAGCGGCGGAUGGGUGAGUAACACGUGGGGAACCUGCCCCAUAGUCUGGGAUACCACUUGGAAACAGGUGCUAAUACCGGAUAAGAAAGCAGAUCGCAUGAUCAGCUUAUAAAAGGCGGCGUAAGCUGUCGCUAUGGGAUGGCCCCGCGGUGCAUUAGCUAGUUGGUAGGGUAACGGCCUACCAAGGCAAUGAUGCAUAGCCGAGUUGAGAGACUGAUCGGCCACAUUGGGACUGAGACACGGCCCAAACUCCUACGGGAGGCAGCAGUAGGGAAUCUUCCACAAUGGACGAAAGUCUGAUGGAGCAACGCCGCGUGAGUGAAGAAGGUUUUCGGAUCGUAAAGCUCUGUUGUUGGUGAAGAAGGAUAGAGGUAGUAACUGGCCUUUAUUUGACGGUAAUCAACCAGAAAGUCACGGCUAACUACGUGCCAGCAGCCGCGGUAAUACGUAGGUGGCAAGCGUUGUCCGGAUUUAUUGGGCGUAAAGCGAGCGCAGGCGGAAGAAUAAGUCUGAUGUGAAAGCCCUCGGCUUAACCGAGGAACUGCAUCGGAAACUGUUU
This 636-nucleotide ribosomal RNA is filed under the name Lactobacillus acidophilus. RNAcentral's name for it is "bacterial SSU rRNA". It matches the Rfam family "Bacterial small subunit ribosomal RNA", at positions 33 to 638 of the family's 1533-position model. Lineage: Bacteria; Bacillati; Bacillota; Bacilli; Lactobacillales; Lactobacillaceae. The record is from RNAcentral.